CGAUCUAUUGUUGGCUCCUGUAUUUGUGCUGUAUGUUGUACACCGAGCACCAGUUAGUGCUCGGUGAUUGGUUUCUGAAAUGUAAGUUGUGUAGGAUGUAUAGCUUCUUUUUUCCCUUAAACGUGUAGGGCUCUUGUAAAAGCACUUAGGGGCACUAAGAGUCAGAUAUUUUAACCUCAAUGUGGCUGGUUGCAAGCUUGCAUUUUUGUAGGUUCAGUUGCCAGAAAGUCUGGCAUUUAUUAUAAUAGGUUGGGGUAGUCAUGAUACUAAAUUAGUUCACGCUUUGUCCCUUGGAUUGUUUGGAUAAACUUCCUUCUUCCAGUGGCGACUUCCUCGGAGAGUUGGCCACCACUUUACAGACUGAUCCAGCUGGUUCUCCCCCUUCUUCCGAGGCAGGAAUUUCGACGGUUGCGCCAGAACAGGAGCCUUUCUUGCGGUGACCUCCUCACAUCGGUCGUCGCCUCCAGAUGCUUCCCCUGUUACGGAUUUCUUCUCUGUCCUUUCCAGGAAAGGAGUGUCCUCCGGAGCAGCGUUCACAUUGGAUCUCCGGCUCAGGUGGAACACGUACUGGGCGAGUCCUAACCGUAGGACGAAUUUGUGUUGAGCCAGCGAUGUCGCUCUGCCUUUGAGAUCUUUCCAUAAGACGGGGGUCUGCAAAGCAGAUCAUUUUUCGACCUUGAACUGUGAAAUAUCCGCCAUCGUGAUCAAGCCCACCGAAAAAGCUUAACCAGCAAAUUCAAUGCGCGACCCAAAACAAAUCUCUGAGACCGACUCCAACCUCAAAAUUCCACCGCAAAUUGCUCAACUAACUUUUGACUCUCUAGUCCCUCUAUGACAUUUUUUUUUUCAAGUUUUAGAUUCGAUUCAUUAUUUUUCCCUUGAUUUCCUUCGUUCGCUAUUCGCUCGAAGACUCGAUCUUGGCCAAUCUCCCGCGCAUUAUCCAGGGAAUCUAGAAAUCCGUGGACUAGACAAUCGACUUGUACAGAGUUUGCAUCGUGAUACUAUAACAGAAUGAAUGUCUUGCAGUUUUAGGCCUUCUUUUUCUGCAAAACUGUAACGUGUCACUUUUUUCUGUCAUUGCUGGGGAUAACCAUGCAACUCUAGGACCACAAAUAUAAAUUCUGACAACCUUUCGUUUGACUACUUUAGGUUUCGGCCAAGAUUUUAGUGCUUAGAAUGAUACUGAAUGAUGGUUUUUAAGAAAAAAUCAAACUGGAAAAAAAUUCAUUUUUCUUUGAUAUCCUUUUGUUUCAAAGGGACCACUAGUGUGAAGAAAAUUAUAAUACUCCUUUUUCUUUAGCGGUGGGUAAUGUUGUUGGGUCGAAUCGAACACACUUUUGUGCAUUCGACCAUGAACGCAGAGGCUUUCUAAUCUAAACCGUUUCCAGCCAAACCAGAGAAGAACCAAAACCCAAUUACAGACCAUUGUGUGGGUUAUGGACCAACGCAUUGCACCCAUAGCCCAAGAGCACAGCCGACGAAGAGAUAGUUUCGGGCAACGCCGCCAAAUCAUUGAUUUUGGGUUGCUUUCGUCCAACAUGUGAGAACUACUACAAAAUGGACUAAUGAUAAAAACCAAAGCACAUUAUCCCUGAUAAGAACAGUCUUACUCUUGCGUCUGCCUACAUUUCUAAAAUGGAAAAAAACUUGAACCUGAACCCACACAUGGUAUGGUUCUGAUAUCAAAUUUGAAGGUUGAUCUAUCUUUUUAAAUGCUUGCACUUGCUCCAAUUUGUGAUGAAAGUAAUUUUGGUUUUAAGAGCUCAAAAGACAAGCUGACUAAUGAAUUAUUAGAUUACAAUCAUUUACUUGUUUUCAUUCAAUUUUUCAAAAAGUUAAAUAUUGCCUUAAGGUCAAGUGCCUCCAAUUGUGUCUUCUGUCCACCCAGUUACUUCAAAUCCUACAUGCCAAUAAUGAUCUGAGAAAUGCCCGAGUCAUUAUCACCGUCCAGUUUUUACAUUUGAUAUCAAGUUGAUUAUUUGUCUGUGGCGUCAGAAUAAACAAUAAUAAGAAGAAAGGUAAAGAAUUUUGCAAGGAAUCAGCACCUGCCACUAUUACACCACAGUUAGUUAAUUUCUACAGUGGAAGACACUUCUGGGAUUUUUCCUCAUCUGUUAGAUCACUUGCUGACACUGCGUUUGACGAAAAAGUGUAGACACAUUUUUGGGGGCACUAUCUCUGCCAAAAUGUGCAUAAGUGUACCUCAAAUGAUAAAACGUUUGGCUGAGUGUGAAUUUCGCCAUUCUAUUCAAUGCUCUCAACACAAGGACCAGAAAUGUCUAAAUCAAUCUCUGUACGUCAAUGCUACUUUUAGCUUCUGUAUUCUUUACAGAUGUUCAUGACGCGUGUGGACAGUUCGUUAGUAGAAAGUUGGACAUUAGCUUUCACAAUACAACUCCCCAUUUUGAGUGAGGUCUAUACAAGGCACUCUUUAAGUGUUCCAGUCGCGCUUUAUUCAUUCAUAUAUACAUACUGUUGUAUUUAAAUUAAUCUUUUAUCCGUUGGAGUGAGUCACAAUAUGCACAAUAUAUAGAGUCAUUGCUUAUUUCACUCAUUUCAAGAUUGAUCUUGAAUCGCCAAUCCGGGAAGUAAACCCGUCUGUUGUCAUGGUGCUGCACUCUAUGUAGUAUUUGGAACGAGAAAGCCCAGAGUUAUUUUUCGUCUAUUUCUAUUGGAUAAUCAUGCCUUUUCGAGGAUUGAAUCGCCAAAAUGAAAACGAACAAGGAUAUGGCAGUUCAUCACGACGAGAUACACCAACGCCUACGCUUCCAUCUCCUCCCUUGUCAUUACCAAUCCGUUUGGAACCUGAACAAGAUCCCACAAAUUACAACUUCGUUCCUUGUCUCUCAUUCUGCUGCUUCGUAUAUGAUCAUCGAAAGGGCGUGGCGAUAUAUGCUGGGUUUAGUCUUGCUAUCCUCCUGGGCCUGCUCUCGUUCAACGUGUUUGCCAUUGUCAGUCCAAUCACCGAUCUGUUGGCCUUCGUCAGCUUAGAGUAUGAGUAUAUUAAUCUGGCAAUGAUCAUUUUGUCCUUGAUUGUCAACGCAUUUUUACUGUGGGCAGUGCUCUUGAGAUUAAGGUACGCAAUGCUACCCUGGCUGGUGGUGACUUUUAUUCAAAUUAUGUUUUAUUCGGGAUUGGAUGUAUAUCAUAUGAUAAUCCUGUUUUCGGACUGGAACAAUGCCACCCUCCUAAAGUUUGGUCUUCUCUCUUUAAUAUGUGUGCAUCUUAUCUACUUUUGGUCUGUGGUUUGGUCCUUGUAUAUGAGAUUGGGAGAUCCAACUGAGCGCAUAAACCGAUUGCAACCAAGCAAAUCAACCCUCACAGAAGAACACUUCAUGGAAAUUGAUGUAAAAAAGCAAAACGAUUUUAAUAUAUUCGAGAGGUUUCACUUGAUGCAACGGA
This is a long non-coding RNA of Tigriopus californicus, 3402 nucleotides long. RefSeq lists it as uncharacterized. The transcript is spliced from 2 exons. The record is from RefSeq and is a predicted model, not a curated record. NCBI's taxonomy places the organism in Eukaryota, Metazoa, Arthropoda, Copepoda, Harpacticoida, Harpacticidae.